UUCCGGUUGAUCCUCGCCUUGACCUGACUGCUAUCGGAUUGAUACUAAGCCAUGCGAGUCAUUGUAGCAAUACAAGGCAUACGGCUCAGUAACGCGUAGUCAACCUAACCUAUGGACGGGAAUAACCUCGGGAAACUGGGAAUAAUGCCCGAUAGAACAUUAUGCCUGGAAUGGUUUAUGUUCCAAAUGAUUUAUCGCCGUAGGAUGGGACUGCGGCCUAUCAGUUUGUUGGUGAGGUAAUGGCCCACCAAGACUAUUACAGGUACGGGCUCUGAGAGGAGUAGCCCGGAGAUGGGUACUGAGACACGGACCCAGGCCCUAUGGGGCGCAGCAGGCGAGAAAACUUUGCAAUGUGCGAAAGCACGACAAGGUUAAUCCGAGUGGUUCCUGCUAAAGGAACCUUUUGUUAGUCCUAGAACCACUAACGAAUAAGGGGUGGGCAAGUUCUGGUGUCAGCCGCCGCGGUAAAACCAGCACCUCAAGUGGUCAGGAUGAUUAUUGGGCCUAAAGCAUCCGUAGCCGGCUCUGUAAGUUUUCGGUUAAAUCUGUACGCUUAAUGUACAGGCUGCCGGGAAUACUGCAGAGCUAGGGAGUGGGAGAAGUAGACGGUACUCGGUAGGAAGUGGUAAAAUGCUUCGAUCUAUCGAUGACCACCUGUGGCGAAGGCGGUCUACUAGAACACGUCCGACGGUGAGGGAUGAAAGCUGGGGGAGCAAACCGGAUUAGAUACCCGGGUAGUCCCAGCUGUAAACUAUGCAAACUCAGUGAUGCAUUGGCUUGUGGCCAAUGCAGUGCUGCAGGGAAGCCGUUAAGUUUGCCGCCUGGGAAGUACGUACGCAAGUAUGAAACUUAAAGGAAUUGGCGGGGGAGCACCACAAGGGGUGAAGCCUGCGGUUCAAUUGGAUUCAACGCCGGA
RNAcentral lists this ribosomal RNA (916 nucleotides) under uncultured archaeon. RNAcentral's name for it is "bacterial SSU rRNA". It matches the Rfam family "Archaeal small subunit ribosomal RNA", at positions 1 to 922 of the family's 1478-position model. The record is from RNAcentral.